UUUCGCAAUGCCCGAAAGGGUGACGAAGCGACGCCGCGUGGGUGAGGAAGGCCUUCGGGUUGUAAAGCCCUGUCAGGAGUUAUGAAAUGUAAGUGCGCUAAUAUCGUGCUUAUUUGACAAAGGCUCCAAAGGAAGCCACGGCUAACUCUGUGCCAGCAGCCGCGGUAAUACAGAGGUGGCGAGCGUUGUUCGGAAUUAUUGGGCGUAAAGAGCACGUAGGUGGGUUUGCAAGUCAGAUGUGAAAGCCUUCUGUUCAACGGAAGAAUCGCAUCUGAAACUGCUAAUCUUGAGUAUAGGAGGGGAGAAUGGAACUUCUGGUGGAGCGGUGAAAUGCGUAGAUAUCAGAAGGAACGCCGGCGGCGAAAGCGAUUCUCUGGCCUAUUACUGACACUCAGUGUGCGAAAGCUAGGGGAGCAAACGGGAUUAGAUACCCCGGUAGUCCUAGCCGUAAACGAUGGGCACUAAGUAGAGGGGUUUU
Molecule: ribosomal RNA, 478 nt
Filed under: uncultured anaerobic ammonium-oxidizing bacterium
Lineage: Bacteria
Description: bacterial SSU rRNA
Rfam family: Bacterial small subunit ribosomal RNA
Source: RNAcentral